AAGCCUUGAAAAACUUGGCAAUCCAUGCUCAUACUUCUUAAAUUUUAAAGUAUUUAUUUCACUUCAUUCCAACAUUUUCUUCCCAAGCUAAAUACAAGCCAAUCAACAAAAAAACAAAUAAGUGAAAUGAUAAAUUUCAGGCAGAUCAUGGCAAUUAUCAAAACCAACAUCAGAGUGGGAUGCAACACUCUAAUCACAUCGGUCAUUCCUUCACCAAAUUCUGAACAUUGGUUUGAAGGAAAUUCAUGAGAAGUUUUCGGCUUCACAUCCUCUUGUAAGAGCUCUAAUUCUUGCCGAUUAUCCUUGUCAAGAACUUGCUUUGUACCAUCAAGUUCUUCCAUUACUAAACCAUAUGGCUCUUGUCGAAGAACUUAUUCUUCUUCAACAUCCACAUUUACCCUUUUAGUUAUAACUGUGCUCUCUAACAAUUUGUACAAGUUUCGUUCUCGGACACUCUUCAUCAUCACUAGAGCUCCUUUUGAAACUUUGAGCAUUCCAUAUUGCUCGGUAAAUUUGUAGCUUUCCAUAUCAAGAGUAACAAGCGAAAUCAAUUUUUUUUCAAGUAUGGCACAUGACUCACAUUUUCAAAUGUACGAACCAUACUAUCAUAUAUUUUUAUGUGAAUAUUUCAAAUACUCAAAAUUUUACAAGCUCUAUCAUUACCAAGAUAGACAAAGCC
Molecule: long non-coding RNA, 679 nt
Filed under: Amborella trichopoda
Lineage: Eukaryota; Viridiplantae; Streptophyta; Magnoliopsida; Amborellales; Amborellaceae
Description: long non-coding RNA (ATRI_LNC001712)
Source: RNAcentral